RNAcentral lists this long non-coding RNA (395 nucleotides) under Setaria viridis. Its description in RNAcentral is "long non-coding RNA (SVIR_LNC006209)". The record is from RNAcentral. Lineage: Eukaryota; Viridiplantae; Streptophyta; Magnoliopsida; Poales; Poaceae.
CCUCCAUCUAACCAUCUGUUUCUUCUGCCUGUGCACCUGAGUGAUCAUGAUGAUGAGCGGAGCGUCGUCCCAGAACUUCUCCAUGCAGCAUGGAAAUUCUUCUCCCACUCCGGUACACCGAUCAGGUCGUCGCACGGCUCGCAUGGCGGCUGUCACUCGAUCUCCGGCCGAACACGUCGUCGAUCUCCUCCGGCUAUUUUCUUUCCACAGAAGAAAAAUGGCGGCCGGCGCUGGAAAGUCCAGGGAUCGUGGAGUGGAAGCCGGCCAGCCACCAUUUUCAUCAGUGUACUUGGCCAACGGCCAGGGCGUGUCCUGUGUGCUAGGCUGCUAGCUCUGUGCCCAUCGAGUCAUAUUCUACCCUGUAUUGCAGGGAAAUUCUUCUCUCUCCCUGUGGU